GAUGAACGCUGGCGGCGUGCUUAACACAUGCAAGUCGAACGGAAAGGCCCAAGCUUGCUUGGGUACUCGAGUGGCGAACGGGUGAGUAACACGUGGGUGAUCUGCCCUGCACUUCGGGAUAAGCCUGGGAAACUGGGUCUAAUACCGGAUAGGACCACAUUUUGGAUGGUGUGGUGGAAAGUUUUUCGGUUUGGGAUGAGCUCGCGGCCUAUCAGCUUGUUGGUGGGGUAAUGGCCUACCAAGGCGUCGACGGGUAGCCGGCCUGUGAGGGUGUACGGCCACAUUGGGACUGAGAUAAGGCCCAGACUACUACGGGAGGCAGCAGUGGGGAAUAUUGCACAAUGGGCGCAAGCCUGAUGCAGCGACGCCGCGUGGGGGAUGACGGCCUUCGGGUUGUAAACUCCUUUCGCUAGGGACGAAGCGCAAGUGACGGUACCUGGAGAAGAAGCACCGGCUAACUACGUG
This 465-nucleotide ribosomal RNA is filed under the name uncultured bacterium. RNAcentral's name for it is "partial 16S ribosomal RNA". It matches the Rfam family "Bacterial small subunit ribosomal RNA", at positions 28 to 507 of the family's 1533-position model. The record is from RNAcentral.